CCCUACGGGGCGCAGCAGGCGCGAAAACUUUACAAUGCGGGAAACCGUGAUAAGGGAACUCCGAGUGCCCGUAAAAUCGGGCUGUCCAUCUGUUUAAAUAACCGGUGAAGAAAGGGCCGGGCAAGACCGGUGCCAGCCGCCGCGGUUUAAUACCGGCGGCUCGAGUGGUAACCGUUGUUAUUGGGUCUAAAGGGUCUGUAGCCGGCCGGAUAAGUCUCUUGGGAAAUCCAGCAGCUCAACUGUUGGGCUUUCAGGAGAUACUGUCUGGCUCGAGGUCGGGAGAGGUGAGAGGUACCUCAGGGGUAGGGGUGAAAUCUUGUAAUCC
This 325-nucleotide ribosomal RNA is filed under the name uncultured Methanosaeta sp. Its description in RNAcentral is "bacterial SSU rRNA". It matches the Rfam family "Archaeal small subunit ribosomal RNA", at positions 321 to 648 of the family's 1478-position model. Lineage: Archaea; Methanobacteriati; Methanobacteriota; Methanomicrobia; Methanotrichales; Methanotrichaceae. The record is from RNAcentral.